CCCCCACAGCUCACAGUCACGGACGGGAUCACAGCCGGUCGGCUCGCGACGCGGUCACGGAAAAUAAUAGCUGGACACAGACAAACUGGAGAGACAGCUGACAGGAUGUCGUCAUCUGUAACCGUCACUCGCCACAGUUCUCAAGUAAGGGACAAUAAUGGCAUCAGCCAUUCAAGUUAUGAUCCUGGCAGAUCUACUACUAUCUGAAAAGUAGUCUCUGCAGAUUGUUUCAAGAUGCACAAGAUGGAGCGUGGAGAGGCAGGACAUGGACCACAGUUUUCAGCACCCACACCCCACACUCAAAUUCAUAUAGAAGUCCUCAAUUAUUAAAUGUUAAUAUGAUAGUUUAUAUUUAGCUGUGAAGUUAUAGUUCAUUGUCAUAAAUAUUAAACUACAUAUUAUUAUUAUUAUUAUUAUUAUUAUUUUACAUGAUAUGCAAAUUUCACCAAUUUGUUCAAUGUGUUAAUGAACUUUUUGAAAGUGACUAUCUUUAAUAAUUCAGAUACCUGUUGAAAUGCACAUGUAAUUAUAUACUUGCUCGUAUCUGGAAGGUUGUGUUAAUAAAAAUGAUGUUGAAAGCAAAUGUUGCAAUACUGCUAAUCUUAAAAUAACAUUUUAUUAAACUAAACUUUGUAAUGUUCCAAAUAAAUGUUUUUAGGAUGUUGUAUUUUUAAGAAAAUGUAGGUGGAAAUAAAGUUGUAGGAACAUUAUGCUAACCAUAAAAUAACGUUCUAGCUACGUUAAGCAAACUGGACAUUUUAACGUUCUUGGAAUGUUCCAAAUAAACGUUCAUAGAACGUUAUAUUUUUUUUAAAUGAAAUUUAGGUUGCAGGAACGUUAUGCUAACCAUAAAAUAAUGUUCUAGGAACGUUAAGCAAACUGGACAUUUUAACGUUCUUGGAAUGUUCCAAACAAACGUUCAUAUAACGUUAUAUUUUUAGUGAAAUUUAGGUUGCAAGAACGUUGUAGGAACAUUAUGCUAACAAAAAAUAACGUUCUAGGAACGUUAAGCAAACUGGACAUUUUAACGUUCUUGGAAUGUUCCAAACAAACGUUCAUAUAACGUUAUAUUUUUAGUGAAAUUUAGGUUGCAAGAACAUUGUAGGAACGUUAUGCUAACAAAAAAUAACGUUCUAGGAACGUUAAGCAAACUGGACAUUUUAACGUUCUUGGAAUGUUCCAAAUAAACGUUCAUAGAACAUUAUAUUUUUAGUGAAAUUUAGGUUGCAAGAACGUUGUAGGAACGUUAUGCUAACAAAACAAUAAUGUUCUAGGAACGUUAAGCAAACUGGACAUUUUAACGUUCUUGGAAUGUUCCAAAUAAACGUUCAUAGAACAUUAUAUUUUUAGUGAAAUUUAGGUUGCAAGAACGUUGUAGGAACGUUAUGCUAACCAAAAAAUAACGUUCUAGGAACAUUAAGCAAACUGGACAUUUUAACGUUCUUGGAAUGUUCCAAAUAAACGUUCAUAGAACGUUAUAUUUUUAGUGAAAUGUAGGUUGCAAGAACGUUGUAGGAACGUUAUGCUAACCAUCAAAUAACGUUCUAGCAACGUAACGCAAACUGGACAUUUCCACAUUUUUGGAACAUUCCAAAUAACGUUCCCACAACCAAAACAGAACGUUACAAAAACGUUCUCAGAACAUAAAUUUGU
Molecule: long non-coding RNA, 1653 nt
Organism: Onychostoma macrolepis
Lineage: Eukaryota; Metazoa; Chordata; Actinopteri; Cypriniformes; Cyprinidae
Exons: 4
Source: RefSeq, a predicted model, not a curated record